UUGAUAAAAGAAACAAACAAAAUUGUGGCAACAGGAAUGUAUUAGUCUCAGAAGCUACUGAGGUGGCCCAUUCUAUCCUAGUAUAGCA
Molecule: small nucleolar RNA, 88 nt
Filed under: Castor canadensis (American beaver)
Lineage: Eukaryota; Metazoa; Chordata; Mammalia; Rodentia; Castoridae
Source: RNAcentral